UUUGGAUCGCCUAAAAAUGCUCAAAAUGGCAUUCCAAGCACCGUUUAUGCUGAAACUGUUGGAACAAUUACCGCACAGAAAUCUGAUUGUGAUUUAAAUCUAACUAAAUUUUAUGAUGAAAAUAAAUAAAUCAACUUACAGAUUAUCGCUAAAUCCAAAUAAAUACUUUAUUGAUCCGGAAGCAUGCGAAGCACUGCCCUAAGGCGUAUUUCCGUCCUUACGUGCGGGAUUAACCGGAAACACCGCCCCAAAAUACGACCAGAAUUCCUCCUCCUACGAGCACGAAUGCGGAAGAGGUUGACGAAGUUUCUUUCAACACCUAGCGAUAAAGGAAUCAAGAAAAUAGAAAAUUGAAGGAAAAACUUAAAAAAAACUAUUUUCCACUUGUUGUU
Molecule: long non-coding RNA, 392 nt
Filed under: Ananas comosus (pineapple)
Lineage: Eukaryota; Viridiplantae; Streptophyta; Magnoliopsida; Poales; Bromeliaceae
Description: long non-coding RNA (ACOM_LNC015230)
Source: RNAcentral